This is a long non-coding RNA of Lutra lutra (Eurasian river otter), 466 nucleotides long. RefSeq lists it as uncharacterized. The record is from RefSeq and is a predicted model, not a curated record. NCBI's taxonomy places the organism in Eukaryota, Metazoa, Chordata, Mammalia, Carnivora, Mustelidae. The transcript is spliced from 4 exons.
UUUAUCUUUACCUUCACAGGGUACUUAAGUUAAGCUACUAUGAAGCUAGGGAGAGGGGAGAGGGAGAGAUGAAUCUCCUUUCCCUAUGCCUUUUCCCACUGGAGGGUUUAGGGACCAAGCUGCUGUUGUGUCACACAAGCCGCCGGCACCUCCACGUUGCCACUUAAAAUGCCGACUGCUGGGCCUCCACCACCGAUUCCAGAAGGGAAUGCUCAGCAAAUUAACUACUCAAGGAGACGCCACGUGGUUAUUAAAAACAGGCUCCAUUGUCAGGUGAGCUCUCUCCCAGGCUGGCAGAACACGAAGUGAGCAGCCUUUACAAGAACAUAUGUGGAACUUCAAUCACGGCUGCCGUUCACGUCAGAAAUGGCUCCAGCAUCAGCACAGCAGGAAUAAACUGCUAUUGUAAAUAGUCCCCAACACAAUGUGAAACCCAAUAAAUGUGAAACAAUUAAAAAAAAACAAA